GGGAGAUGCUCACUCCUUGCCUUGGCUUUUCCCCUGUGCCCCCCCAUGCGCUUACACUUGCUGUAGGACUCACCAAAACCUCCGUGUCGCCCGCUGAAGUCACCUCAGUGUGGUGGGACGUGACGCUGGAGGGGUUAGAUGAGGGUACUGUGUGUCGCCCGGCUGGAGCCCUCCAUAAGGAGGAGCAGAGCGGGGGGCAGCGGCUCCCUGGGCUCCAGCACCCCCUGAAUCACCCCGGGAAGGCGCUUGUUGACGAGCACUCGGUACAAAAAGCUGUCUAAGGACACAUCCUUGGGCGGUGGCACAGACUGCUAUGUGCAGGAGAGGAGGUUGUGUGAAGUUCUGCCCGUGCCAUCGCUGGAAACAUUCAACUUUACUCCUCUGAUUUCAACACGAGUUACAGAGGGAUACCAAAGCGACAGAUAUGGAUGCCACUGAACGUGCCACUAAGGCAGCUAAGACAGAGGCUCCAAGAUGACUUGUCCACAAACAGAGCAUUUAGUGCUCUUCCAGUUUACAGCACUUUGCAGAGAAACCAGGAGAGAAGGAAGCAGCAAAGAAGAAAUGGAUAAAUGAAUGGAGGCCGAAGGUGGAAAACACUUAUUCAGCGACUUGUGGGUCUCAUGUACACUGAUCCACCUGAAUAUUUUGACCUUCCUAAAGCACCUCUGUGGUAACAGAAGCUGCUCCAAGCUGAAUAAGUGAAAGAGAGAAGAGCUGAGAUGUGGAGUUACUGGGGAGUGAUGCUGCCCUGACAAUUCACCAACACUUUCCCUUGAGCUGUGUUCUCCUGAUCUAGCUCAGGAGUGUUGUGUGGAGCAAAGCAAAGGUCCUGCCCUUCUCACUUGGCAUCUGGGAACUGACAGCUGACCAUGGGAAUUUACACCUACAUGUCAAUAUUACUACAUCUUACUGAUAUUUUCAGUAAGAACUGUAAAAUGGUUCAGCAUUGAACAAUAGCCUUUAGUGAAUUCUAAUCUGUACUAAAAUGUGAUUCUGGUGUCAGCGCUUUGAUACGAAUUUUUGGAACAAAUUAAAAAUACUCGACUCUUAAUAUUUUGUUAUUCUGCGAUGAAUUCACAGGUUCAGUCUAUCAGAAUCAUGUAAAUUGGCUUCUUUUGGCAUAUUUUACAUUUUGUUGCACACUAAUGUAAUCUACUUAAUUGUAGAAUUCAGUAAUAUCUCAAAUUACUACUUGGUUAAACAAGAGGGAAUCUGAUACAAGAAUUUUGAUAUGAUUAAUACUUAUUUAGUAAUUCUUGUAACUUCUUUGUAUGCCCUUUAUGAAUAACUGCCCUGUUCUUAAACUUUUGCUCCUUCUGCACGAUUGCAGUACUCAUCUGUUGGUUGUAGCAUUACCCUGGAAUGUGGAUGAAGAUCUCAUUUAGCUCAAAUGCACUGUGGCUGCUCCUGCAGCUUCUCGGGAACACACCUCCAUGUAUCCCUGGCCUGCUGCCAUGGGAUGCCAGGCACCUGUAGGUUCAGGUAUAAAUGUUACAUCUUGGAACUUAUUCUAAUACUGUGAGCAAACUUGUGCAUGAUGAAUUGAUUUCUUUUUUGUUUGUUUGUUUUCUGCUAUAAUUACCUUCUCUUGUACCAGAAGUUAUUUGUUCCACUGAAAUACAUGGGAAUGUGCGAAGUUGGCACUCUUGAUUUAUUGCUUUUGCCUCAUAAUCUAUUUUGCAAAAAAUGCACUGUUCAAAUUUGCUUUUAGUGCUAGAUGAGAGAUCAUUAACUCGCUCUCUUGAGGGCAGGCGUCCUAGUAAAGGCAGGCAGAAGUUCAGGAAAGCUACACCUCCAGAUAACAUGAAGGAAAAACUCUUGAUAUGCAAACAUGGCAUUACUACAGCCUGACCACGGGCUCCAUGGAAAGAACAACAGACUGAUAGCACAGGGCUGCAUGGCCUCCUUGGGAGAUACAGCCCAGGCUCUCAGCUGAAGCCUGUAUGAGUCUCUGAGCUCACUGCUCGGUUAUCCUGUUUGCUGGCAUUCAGCAGUAUCCAAUAAAGUCUUCUAGGUCUGAA
Pipra filicauda (Wire-tailed manakin) is the source of this 2024-nucleotide long non-coding RNA. RefSeq lists it as uncharacterized. The record is from RefSeq and is a predicted model, not a curated record. NCBI's taxonomy places the organism in Eukaryota, Metazoa, Chordata, Aves, Passeriformes, Pipridae. The transcript is spliced from 3 exons.